ACAAGUGUGGGGGGGCAAUCUUUGCACCUAUUCUAUACACCUUCAUUACAUGGAGCCUUUCACCACCCAGGGGAAUUACAGAAAACAGGGUUAUGCCCAUUUCAUAUAUGAUGGAGUUAUUGAGUUCUUGGUCUGUUGUCAGCUGCACA
Long non-coding RNA from Oxyura jamaicensis (ruddy duck), 149 nucleotides. RefSeq lists it as uncharacterized. NCBI's taxonomy places the organism in Eukaryota, Metazoa, Chordata, Aves, Anseriformes, Anatidae. The record is from RefSeq and is a predicted model, not a curated record. The transcript is spliced from 4 exons.